RNAcentral lists this ribosomal RNA (1554 nucleotides) under Staphylococcus aureus. Its description in RNAcentral is "16S ribosomal RNA". It matches the Rfam family "Bacterial small subunit ribosomal RNA". The record is from RNAcentral. Lineage: Bacteria; Bacillati; Bacillota; Bacilli; Caryophanales; Staphylococcaceae.
UUUAUGGAGAGUUUGAUCCUGGCUCAGGAUGAACGCUGGCGGCGUGCCUAAUACAUGCAAGUCGAGCGAACGGACGAGAAGCUUGCUUCUCUGAUGUUAGCGGCGGACGGGUGAGUAACACGUGGAUAACCUACCUAUAAGACUGGGAUAACUUCGGGAAACCGGAGCUAAUACCGGAUAAUAUUUUGAACCGCAUGGUUCAAAAGUAAAAGACGGUCUUGCUGUCACUUAUAGAUGGAUCCGCGCUGCAUUAGCUAGUUGGUAAGGUAACGGCUUACCAAGGCAACGAUGCAUAGCCGACCUGAGAGGGUGAUCGGCCACACUGGAACUGAGACACGGUCCAGACUCCUACGGGAGGCAGCAGUAGGGAAUCUUCCGCAAUGGGCGAAAGCCUGACGGAGCAACGCCGCGUGAGUGAUGAAGGUCUUCGGAUCGUAAAACUCUGUUAUUAGGGAAGAACAUAUGUGUAAGUAACUGUGCACAUCUUGACGGUACCUAAUCAGAAAGCCACGGCUAACUACGUGCCAGCAGCCGCGGUAAUACGUAGGUGGCAAGCGUUAUCCGGAAUUAUUGGGCGUAAAGCGCGCGUAGGCGGUUUUUUAAGUCUGAUGUGAAAGCCCACGGCUCAACCGUGGAGGGUCAUUGGAAACUGGAAAACUUGAGUGCAGAAGAGGAAAGUGGAAUUCCAUGUGUAGCGGUGAAAUGCGCAGAGAUAUGGAGGAACACCAGUGGCGAAGGCGACUUUCUGGUCUGUAACUGACGCUGAUGUGCGAAAGCGUGGGGAUCAAACAGGAUUAGAUACCCUGGUAGUCCACGCCGUAAACGAUGAGUGCUAAGUGUUAGGGGGUUUCCGCCCCUUAGUGCUGCAGCUAACGCAUUAAGCACUCCGCCUGGGGAGUACGACCGCAAGGUUGAAACUCAAAGGAAUUGACGGGGACCCGCACAAGCGGUGGAGCAUGUGGUUUAAUUCGAAGCAACGCGAAGAACCUUACCAAAUCUUGACAUCCGUUGACAACUCUAGAGAUAGAGCCUUCCCCUUCGGGGGACAAAGUGACAGGUGGUGCAUGGUUGUCGUCAGCUCGUGUCGUGAGAUGUUGGGUUAAGUCCCGCAACGAGCGCAACCCUUAAGCUUAGUUGCCAUCAUUAAGUUGGGCACUCUAAGUUGACUGCCGGUGACAAACCGGAGGAAGGUGGGGAUGACGUCAAAUCAUCAUGCCCCUUAUGAUUUGGGCUACACACGUGCUACAAUGGACAAUACAAAGGGCAGCGAAACCGCGAGGUCAAGCAAAUCCCAUAAAGUUGUUCUCAGUUCGGAUUGUAGUCUGCAACUCGACUACAUGAAGCUGGAAUCGCUAGUAAUCGUAGAUCAGCAUGCUACGGUGAAUACGUUCCCGGGUCUUGUACACACCGCCCGUCACACCACGAGAGUUUGUAACACCCGAAGCCGGUGGAGUAACCUUUUAGGAGCUAGCCGUCGAAGGUGGGACAAAUGAUUGGGGUGAAGUCGUAACAAGGUAGCCGUAUCGGAAGGUGCGGCUGGAUCACCUCCUUUCU